Molecule: ribosomal RNA, 229 nt
Filed under: uncultured bacterium
Lineage: Bacteria
Description: partial 16S ribosomal RNA
Rfam family: Bacterial small subunit ribosomal RNA
Source: RNAcentral
UCCGUAGGCGGGCAAUUAAGUCAGAGGUGAAAUCCCACAGCUCAACUGUGGAACUGCCUUUGAUACUGGUUGUCUUGAGUUACAGUGAAGUAGAUAGAAUAUGUAGUGUAGCGGUGAAAUGCAUAGAUAUUACAUGGAAUACCGAUUGCGAAGGCAGUCUACUAACUAACAACUGACGCUAAUGGACGAAAGCGUGGGGAGCGAACAGGAUUAGAUACCCUGGUAGUCC